RNAcentral lists this long non-coding RNA (719 nucleotides) under Lactuca sativa (garden lettuce). RNAcentral describes it as "long non-coding RNA (LSAT_LNC009504)". Lineage: Eukaryota; Viridiplantae; Streptophyta; Magnoliopsida; Asterales; Asteraceae. The record is from RNAcentral.
AGAACAGAGGAAAACAACUUUAUCCAAGUUCACAUGGGAGUGAACCCUAUUCCCAAAAAUGGUUUAAGGAAGUAAGUUUAUUUUUAGUAUUAUUUAAGGAUUUAUUAACAGUUAUAUGAAAACUUAAUAAUAGUUUUUUUUUCUAACUCUAUAUAGAGAAAAGCAACCCGAAAGGUGAAUUAUAUUGAGGGUUGGAAGAAGAGUCACUAUAAAGAAGGUCGUGGAUGGUGCAACAUGCGAGCACAACAAGAUUGGGUAAGUAAAAAGUUUCUAUAUUAUUAUGGUAUUAAAAGUGGAUUACCUAUAUUGCUUAUAUUGCUAUUUAAAACAGAUUAAAUAUAUCGAAAGUAGAUUGCUAUGAUAGGUAUGAUGAAAUUUUAGACUUAUUGUUCUUAUUAAUUAUAGUUGGACAGGUUGGUUGUCUUCUUUAUAGUCGUUAUGCUGCCGAUUUUUAGUUAAAAAAAACUAAUGUAUGUUUAUUGUUUUUUUGUUGUAGGUUAAAAUUGAAAAUGAGUAUAAGAAAAUGUUGGACGAGGUUGGUGGUGAUGAAUCGAAAGUCAAACAGCUAGAAUGCUUGGCUCGUGUACUUGGAGAAAGGAGAGGUCAUACACGGGGUGUUGGUCGAAAAGUGAAAAAUGUAGCACCUUAUAAUAUCCCGACUCCUUCAACAAAUAAUGUAGACCUCAAUGCAUUUGCUCUUCAGUUGAAUCAACAAUUGA